Nerophis lumbriciformis (worm pipefish) is the source of this 938-nucleotide non-coding RNA. Lineage: Eukaryota; Metazoa; Chordata; Actinopteri; Syngnathiformes; Syngnathidae. The record is from RefSeq and is a predicted model, not a curated record.
ACACACACACACACAUGAUGGCUCAGUCAUAGUCUGUCAUGACACCGUAUACAAGUAGGUACACACACACACAUGAUGGCUCAGUCAUAGUCUGCCAUGACACCGUAUACAAGUAGGUACACACACACACACACAUGAUGGCUCAGUCAUAGUCUGCCAUGACACCGUAUACAAGUAGGUACACACACACACACACACACACACAUGAUGGCUCAGUCAUAGUCUGUCAUGACACCGUAUACAAGUAGGUACACACACACACACACACACACACAUGAUGGCUCAGUCAUAGUCUGCCAUGACACCGUAUACAAGUAGGUACACACACACACACACACAUGAUGGCUCAGUCAUAGUCUGUCAUGACACCGUAUACAAGUAGGUACACACACACACACACAUGAUGGCUCAGUCAUAGUCUGCCAUGACACCGUAUACAAGUAGGUACACACACACACACACACACAUGAUGGCUCAGUCAUAGUCUGCCAUGGCACUGUAUACAAGUAGGUACACACACAUGAUGUCAUAGUCUGCCAUGACACCGUAUACAAGUAGGUACACACACACACAUGAUGGCUCAGUCAUAGUCUGCCAUGGCACCGUAUACAAGUAGGUACACACACACACACACAUGAUGGCUCAGUCAUAGUCUGCCAUGACACCGUAUACAAGUAGGUACACACACACACACACACAUGAUGGCUCAGUCAUAGUCUGCCAUGACACCGUAUACAAGUAGGUACACACACACACACACACACACACAUGAUGGCUCAGUCAUAGUCUGCCAUGACACCGUAUACAAGUAGGUACACACACACACACACACAUGAUGGCUCAGUCAUAGUCUGUCAUGACACCGUAUACAAGUAGGUACACACACACACACACAUGAUGGCUCAGUCAUAGUCUGCCAUGACACCGUAUACAAGUAG